Long non-coding RNA from Myotis myotis, 1842 nucleotides. RefSeq lists it as uncharacterized. The record is from RefSeq and is a predicted model, not a curated record. NCBI's taxonomy places the organism in Eukaryota, Metazoa, Chordata, Mammalia, Chiroptera, Vespertilionidae. The transcript has 2 exons.
UCGGCGGUCGCCGCGCCCGCAGUCUGGAGGCGCCCAGGAGCGGCCGGGCGCCCCCCGCGGGAGCCCGCAGCCACCCGCCGCGCGCAUCCAGCCGCGCUCCUCCGCCCCGCACGCUGCGCCCCGGGGCUCCGCGGACCCUGCGUCGCCGCUGAUUCGGAGCUGGUGCAGCGCGGGCUGGCCGGCGGGGCGGCGAGGCGAGGGCCCGGCCCGCCUCCCCUGCGCCCGCCCCGGCUUCUCCCCCUGGCGGCGGAGCCUCGGCGGCCGCCGGCCACACCGGGCGCGCCGGAGCCCGAGCCGAGCCGAGCCCGAGCCGCUGCCGCCGCGCGCUGCUCCCAGGCUCCCUCCCUGCGCGCCGGCCGGGGUGUCGGGGGGCGGCGGGCCGGAGGGGCGAGGGCGGGCGAGGGGCGCGCACGGGGAUUGGCACCGAAGAUCGGACCCUCAGCCGCGAGGGGACCCCAUACAGGAGCGCUGCACCCCAACUGAAGAGCACGUGGCGGAAGGAAGAGGAGUGGACCCCUGGCCAUUUGUUUGCUAUUUAUCCUCCCAUCGGCAGCUGUACUUUUCUACUCGCUGGAAGAAAGACGCCUAAGCUGAGGUCCAAUUUCUCCAAAAGCUGGAAGCAAAGAGGGCCAGUGAUGAGGGGGCGAGGGGAUGUACCCCAAAGGGGCCUGAAACUCCAAAAACCUCUGCAAGAUCAGGGGUGACUGGAGGUUCAGGACCCCAGCUAAGGUGAAACGGAAAUUCAACUUUGCCCCUCUCCUCUUGCCAUCCGUCCCCACCCCCACCCCCAACUCUAAGGAAGCUAACAGGUCUUUUGUUUUUGUGUUGUGUCGCCUUUGGAAAAUUUGCAUUGAGUAUGACAACAAAAAAUUACUACUGUUUACUCAAAGUGUAAGGGGAUUGCAGAAAGGGAAAAAAACAACAACAAUAUAGUCUACUUUUUCUCUUCGUGCGUGCGUGCGUGCGUGUGUGUGUGUGUGUGUGUGUGUGUAGUUGUUAGGUUCAGGGCUUGAACUGCAAAACCUCAGUUUGUAACAAUAAGAAUUGCAGAGCCGCCCCGGCGUAUUUUUAGAAGCUGCACUUUCUUGAGUUCCUUUCACACAAGGCUUGCUCUCUCAUUAAACCCCCAUAAAUAAUUGUAUUUACCAAGAAGGAAACUAUGGUAGCAGGAGGGAGAUUGCUAAGAUCUCCAUCUCGCUAGUCUGGAACACAGUUUACAGUGAAGUUCCUGGAAAGUGACUGUGGGCUGAGAAUUCAGCUUUUUCCUAAAAGCUCUGUUAGGUCCUCCCUGUCAAAUGUCUAUGAAUAAAGCACACUGGGAAAAUCCUGACAUCCGUGCAGUCUUAUUUUAUCUUACACAGUGGCGGAUUCUACUUUCAAGCCCUGGUAACAAAUACGUCAACUGUGCUGUAUUUUGGUGUGGGUUUUCUAAAUAAAGGAGAGUCGCCCAUGUAUUCAUGCUGCUUUCUCAUCUGCCAGUUCUUUUCUAUCAAUGGGUAUUGAAUUCACUGGAAUGUAUCCGUCUUUUUUCCAGCUGAUUGUCAUUUUAGGCGGAGGCAACAAUUCCAAAGACAUAAGAAUAUGAAAAGUUUAUUUUAGAGAAAUAGCCCUCAUUUUUUUUUUAAGACACAGGUGCCCACCGCAGUUCCUGGUUCUGUAAAGCAGGGCAAAAAAAAAUGUGUAAAUGAUUGUGAUGCGAAAAAACAAAAUAAAGCACAAGUUUUCUUUCCUGGAUCACUUUCUUCCCCUGCAGGGCCCAGGAGACACCAAAUCCUGCCUUAGUUUCCGAAAAUGCUGAAUUGCCUAACCAGUACCAAUAUUUCCAUCUGGGAAUGACAUCAG